This 602-nucleotide long non-coding RNA is filed under the name Meriones unguiculatus (Mongolian gerbil). RNAcentral describes it as "lncRNA (ENSMUGG00000019523.1)". Lineage: Eukaryota; Metazoa; Chordata; Mammalia; Rodentia; Muridae. The record is from RNAcentral.
ACUUCUUUGUUUUUGUUUACCUGAUUAUCUAAUGGAAAAAGAGUAAAGUGGUAGUCAUUUUAGUUUUUUUGUGUUUCUUCUUUUGGAUUCCAGUGUUUUAAUCCCUAAUAUUUGUCAGUACAUUCCAACUGAGGAAAACAAAGACUGCUAGACAUUAAAGAUAAAUAACUGCAGCCUUAAUGUGCAGGUUGUGUCACCCCACAUUUAUACCUGGAAUCUUGUCUUUGGAAUAUCUUUUUCAUUUCAGCACACUGAGUCUUUGGUCAAGAAAUCUUUAAAAAUAUCAGAACACUUAAAUCAUUUUCCUUUUUUUAAGGUAACUUCCAAGAUUAUAAUUAGUGUGGUUGCUGAUGAUUCUGAAUAAAAACAGCUUUUAUGCCAGAAAUGUGAAUCCCAGAUGGAUUGAAGGGGCUGUGCCACAGACAUUGUUGAAGCAUUUACACCCAGUCAUCUUGAAGAGUUUGAAAUGGACCUUACCACUGAGAAAUCAAGAUGGCAGCCCACUAUGGGGAAUUGAGGAAAAUGGAUUAAUGGAAGAGAAUGCUGUGAUCUUACACAACCAACACAGGGUUGUUUUAAUAUGGAUUCCAGGAAAUGAAUGA